Molecule: ribosomal RNA, 309 nt
Filed under: Triticum aestivum (bread wheat)
Lineage: Eukaryota; Viridiplantae; Streptophyta; Magnoliopsida; Poales; Poaceae
Description: partial small subunit ribosomal RNA
Source: RNAcentral
AUGAACUUUUUGCCAUGCUUAGCAACUUUGAUCAGCGCAUGGCGCAGUACCACGGCUCGGGCGGUGGCUUCAAGUCGUCGGCAAACUCGGUCUCCAGAGGCCGUGGUGGUGGCUCUCGCUCUCGUGCCUCCUCUCGUGGCUAGGGGAGGUUCGGAUCUGGUGGCGGUGGCGGCUACUCCGGCUACUCCAACAAUGCUCGUGGUGGCGGACGCUCCGGCAGCUCAAAAGGGCGCCGUGGUGGCAGUUCCAACAGAUCUAGCCUGGACUUACCUCACUGCCAAAUUUGUGGCAAGCCUGGUCACACGGUGA